This is a long non-coding RNA of Oreochromis aureus, 3577 nucleotides long. The record is from Ensembl. NCBI's taxonomy places the organism in Eukaryota, Metazoa, Chordata, Actinopteri, Cichliformes, Cichlidae.
CGGGGGGGACGGGGGCCCGGGCUUACUGGUCUUAAGCCCGGGUUGUUGUUUCAGAAGCCCGGGGUCUUUUGGAGUGUAAUUUGCUUUAUAGUUAGAUGCCUGACUGACAACUGUAUAAAACAAAAACUACACACAAUAUUCAAAGCACAUAGCGGACAGUCGUAAAUUCCCCCUAAUUUUGGUAUGAUCCGAGCUCAGGCACUAGCCGACUGAGCGCAGCACCCAUGUGAGCCAGGGGGGAGAAGCUGCUGCGAGUUUGCUGCAGACAGAGGAGAGCUUAAGUUCGACCAGUUAUGUACUGAUGAACAGAACAAUGGACAUAAGGAGCUUCUUUCAAAGACAAAAACUCAGCACAGAGAGGGAGAGAGAGGAACAGAGAGGAGAAUGAGGACAGAACAGAGAUGGAACAAGAGCCAGAUAGGUCAGGGGAAAUCAGGAAAGCGACAGAAAACCAAAACACAACAGCAUCACAGCAGGAAGCAGCAGGUGGAUCGUUAAGGACAGCUGAAGGAGGUUUACUGGAAGGAGCAGCAGGAGAUGAUUUAGGAACUCUAGGAAGUGGUCCAAGACAAACUGUCCUCACACAGUUUCCACUGAGCCAGUUUGGAGGCCAGCAGAGGGCGUUCAAUAAGAGUUGAACAGUUUAAAUGGUAGGAGUAUUCAGUUGUGACGAACUUUGCUUUCUUUUUUUCAUGUCGCAUUUUGAAAAGCAGAAUACUUAAAAAAAAAAAAAAAAAAAAGAUGGCCUCGGUCUUUCAGGGUUCUGCAACUGGAAGAGGGCUUUAGAUGCCUUUAGGAGUACGAAAAGAGUUCCAACUGUUCGUCGUCUAUGAUAAGCUGGCACAGCUUUAAAACCACAAAAAAUCAAGGUGAUGUUGUUGAGGAACUUACAUCAGCAAACAACACGACAGUAUCUCCACAGGAUCUUAGCUGUAACAAGUUUCCUUGGAAAACAAGGAAUACCAUUCUGUGGCCAUGAUCAGCAGGAAUCCACCAGUCAUCAUCAAGGGAACUUCCUUGAGUGCAUGAAGCUGCAGAAGAUUAUUUGAUCAAUAUUUCAAAAAUUACAGUCCUGUCUCACAUAUUAUCUAUCUGUCUCAUUUUUCACAAAAUGAGAUGAUAACCAGUAUUUCACAUGAAAUAACUGGAAAUAUAGUUAAAGAGAUGAAGGAAGCUAAGAUGUACUCUGUUAUGGCUGAUGAGGCUAGAGAUGGGCACACGGAACAACUUGCAGUUUGUGUAUGUUUUGUGUCAUGUAAAGGCCAUUUCAAAGAGUGUUUUCUUGGUCUACGGAAACUAGAAAGGUUUGCAGACCCUAUUGAGGAGCUGUUGCAGUAUUACACGCUCAGUGACUUACUUUGUGUUGCACAAUCCUAGUUCGCAGAAGUCGAGUCUACGGUAGUGCAGAGUCUACACUGUCUGUAGACCGUUACGUCUUUUCAUUGGCCCGGAGUCUACGGUGAACAUAGACACUGUAGACUCAGGUCAAUAGGAGCACCGAAUCCCACUGUAGACGACCAAUCGUCUGGUCAACGGAAGUUGCGUCACCAAAACAACAAAAUGCAGCGGAACAGCGAGGAAGCCGGCAAGUCCACUAUUUUUUAUGGAAACUGACAUUUCUUUUAUGUUUACGGUAAGUUAUCGACUCUAAGACACUCCUGGAUUUAGCUAAAGUACACGACGCUGAAUACCUAAUUUAACCUUUUUUAACUCCAAUUUCUAGUCCUGGUAUGGCGACACCAACGAUUUGGGUAGUUAAUCCAGAUGCCCCUGCACAUCAUCAGCUGGCACUACUUAUGGCAACCAAAGAGGUACGUUACUACCGGGUGAGAAGUAUGGUCUUCCCCAAACCUCCACAGGAGCUGCUCAGCCAAAUCACUGCAUUGAUUCACGCAGAGAAGCUUCUUCAAGCCGAGGGUAUCCACGCGCCUUCACGUCAGCAGUGCCUGGGAAAGCUGGUGGUGCCAUUUGGAUAAUAUGAAAAUGUGGGGGAUAUAUGAAGUAGUGAGUGUAUCAUAUAUUUAAUACCAUACUAUAGGCAGGUUUACUGAACUUCCAUUUACUGCACAUUUCCCCGUGUAAGGCAAUUAUUAGUAUAUCUUGUUCGUUGUAAACUUUCUUGUAAUAUUCACGGAGAUAUUGCUGACAGUAUGUAUGAUUCCAGCAUACUUGACAGGCACAGAACAGAGGUGACAAAUCCACAAAGAAAGGGAGAGAUAGGGAACCAGUGGGUGAAGGAUUACCUCACAGAAUAUGCAAGUCUCUGUAGUCCUCAAGGCCAACAUUGACAGGUGCAUCUAUGGUCAGAAAGGGUUUGAACAUCCCACCUUUCAAGAGAUGUGGGAAUUACAUUGUCAGUACAGCAGCCAAAAGGACGGACCUGAGAAGUUCAGUGAUGAGCAGAGGGAGGUCAUUCAGAAGGCACACAGUUCUGUGAAGAGGUGGUUGAACACACCAGUGACGCACAUCACAAGCAUCCAAAUGAAGAGGUUCAGAAAAUAUAUAAAUGACAAGGAACAAGUAAGUGCUAUGGAGGAGAACAGCAGAACAGGGCAGUAAGUGACUUAGUUAAAGAUAAUGAUAUGUGAUUAAUCUUGCCAAAGUGUGCAUGUGCAUUUUUUUCCAUCAGUCGCGGUACUCACAAUAAACUGUAUUGUUUAGCAACAGCUGACAAGUACCCCCAGGUGUGAUCCUUCAUUGUGGCCAGGUGAUGAUGCUGAACUGAUAGCUGCAUCCCAGUCUGUGGAAGAUUCACUGAAGUCCCAACACUCCUUGUCUGCAAGUCAACCUCUAAAGCAACGGCUGACAAGCAGAGGUGCUUCCUCCUCCCAGACGUCUGGAACACAGGAGAACUCAGCUCCCCUGUCCAAGGAGUUUGAGAACACUGUACAGUCACAUCAAAAUAAAGCUACUGUGCAGCCCAAACAUCGUGAGUCCACAGAGACUGCCGUACGGUCCAAAAAACUUGACACCAUUGGACUCACUGAGUCAUCUGCAUCCCAGGGUCAUGAUCAUACAACACAAUUACCGUUGAGUCAUUCACCUGUGGAGACUAAGGGAUGGGUGCGUCUCUGGGAAAAUCCCAAUGGUAUCCCAUCUGCUGACAUUUCCUGGCUUAAAGAGGACACUGAAAGAGGGCUGUUUACCCCUGUUCAGACAUACAAGGAUGUUACUGGUGUGUUAAAGAGGCGACGGGUGAUUAAAUCAGAUCGCAUGUGGUUUUACCCACCAGAACCUCCUGGCGUUGCGGUUGUUGUUGUUGUUGUUUUUUCCCGUACUCUUUACAACACAAUGAUCACGACAUUAUACUUCUUCUUCUAUCUUUUACAAAACCUUACAUUACAGUCAGAAUCAAGUUCACUGAUUGAUUGCAGUGCUGUCUUUGUGUUUUACUGAUUGAUUGCAGUGUUGUCUUUGUGUUUCACUGUUUCAUUCAUUUUAAUAAAGUGUUUUGUAUUACAGUAACAGUGAGUUGUGGAAUAACUUAAUGAAUGAAUGACUUAGACUUACUGAGCUUCUUUGAAUCAGCAUCACUAUAGCCCGAAAGGCACUGACAAAACAUACAAGCAUAAAUAAA